Molecule: ribosomal RNA, 484 nt
Filed under: uncultured bacterium
Lineage: Bacteria
Description: partial 16S ribosomal RNA
Rfam family: Bacterial small subunit ribosomal RNA
Source: RNAcentral
AUUGAACGCUGGCGGCAGGCCUAACACAUGCAAGUCGAGCGGAUGAAGGGAGCUUGCUCCUGGAUUCAGCGGCGGACGGGUGAGUAGAGCCUAGGAAUCUGCCUGGUAGUGGGGGAUAACGUCCGGAAACGGGCGCUAAUACCGCAUACGUCCUGAGGGAGAAAGUGGGGGAUCUUCGGACCUCACGCUAUCAGAUGAGCCUAGGUCGGAUUAGCUAGUUGGUGGGGUAAAGGCCUACCAAGGCGACGAUCCGUAACUGGUCUGAGAGGAUGAUCAGUCACACUGGAACUGAGACACGGUCCAGACUCCUACGGGAGGCAGCAGUGGGGAAUAUUGGACAAUGGGCGAAAGCCUGAUCCAGCCAUGCCGCGUGUGUGAAGAAGGUCUUCGGAUUGUAAAGCACUUUAAGUUGGGAGGAAGGGCAGUAAGUUAAUACCUUGCUGUUUUGACGUUACCAACAGAAUAAGCACCGGCUAACUUCGUG